This 427-nucleotide ribosomal RNA is filed under the name uncultured bacterium. Its description in RNAcentral is "bacterial SSU rRNA". It matches the Rfam family "Bacterial small subunit ribosomal RNA", at positions 355 to 774 of the family's 1533-position model. The record is from RNAcentral.
UGGGGAAUUUUGGACAAUGGACGCAAGUCUGAUCCAGCCAUGCCGCGUGCGGGAAGAAGGCCUUCUGGUUGUAAACCGCUUUUGUCAGGGAAGAAACGAGUUUCUCUAAUACAGAGACUUAAUGACGGUACCUGAAGAAUAAGCACCGGCUAACUACGUGCCAGCAGCCGCGGUAAUACGUAGGGUGCGAGCGUUAAUCGGAAUUACUGGGCGUAAAGCUUGCGCAGGCGGUUAUAUAAGACAGGUGUGAAAUCCCCGGGCUCAACCUGGGACCUGCAUUUGUGACUGUAUAGCUAGAGUACGGUAGAGGGGGAUGGAAUUCCGCGUGUAGCAGUGAAGUGCGUAGAUAUGCGGAGGAACACCGAUAGCGAAGGAAAUCCCCUGGACCUGUACUGACGCUCAUGCACGAAAGCGUGGGGAGCAAACA